CCUACGGGAGGCAGCAGUGGGGAAUCUUGGACAAUGGGCGCAAGCCUGAUCCAGCCAUGCCGCGUGAGUGAUGAAGGCCUUAGGGUCGUAAAGCUCUUUCGCCAGAGAUGAUAAUGACAGUAUCUGGUAAAGAAACCCCGGCUAACUCCGUGCCAGCAGCCGCGGUAAUACGGAGGGGGUUAGCGUUGUUCGGAAUUACUGGGCGUAAAGCGUACGUAGGCGGAUUAGUCAGUCAGAGGUGAAAUCCCAGGGCUCAACCCUGGAACUGCCUUUGAUACUGCUAGUCUUGAGUUCGAGAGAGGUGAGUGGAAUUCCAAGUGUAGAGGUGAAAUUCGUAGAUAUUUGGAGGAACACCAGUGGCGAAGGCGGCUCACUGGCUCGAUACUGACGCUGAGGUACGAAAGUGUGGGGAGCAAACAGGAUUAGAUACCCUGGUAGUCCACACCGUAAACGAUGAAUGCCAGUCGUCGGGCAGUAUACUGUUCGGUGACACACCUAACGGAUUAAGCAUUCCGCCUGGGGAGUACGGUCGCAAGAUUAAAACUCAAAUGAAUUGACGG
This 560-nucleotide ribosomal RNA is filed under the name uncultured Alphaproteobacteria bacterium. Its description in RNAcentral is "bacterial SSU rRNA". It matches the Rfam family "Bacterial small subunit ribosomal RNA", at positions 338 to 916 of the family's 1533-position model. The record is from RNAcentral. Lineage: Bacteria; Pseudomonadati; Pseudomonadota; Alphaproteobacteria.